CGGCGAGUGAAGCGGCAAAGCUCAAAUUUGAAAUCUGGCUCUUUCAGAGUCCGAGUUGUAAUUUGAAGAAGGUAUCUUUGGGUCUGGCUCUUGUCUAUGUUUCUUGGAACAGAACGUCACAGAGGGUGAGAAUCCCGUGCGAUGAGAUGAUCCAGGCCUAUGUAAAGUUCCUUCGAAGAGUCGAGUUGUUUGGGAAUGCAGCUCUAAGUGGGUGGUAAAUUCCAUCUAAAGCUAAAUAUUGGCGAGAGACCGAUAGCGAACAAGUACAGUGAUGGAAAGAUGAAAAGAACUUUGAAAAGAGAGUGAAAAAGUACGUGAAAUUGUUGAAAGGGAAGGGCUUGAGAUCAGACUUGGUAUUUUGUAUGUUACUUCUUCGGGGGUGGCCUCUACAGUUUAUCGGGCCAGCAUCAGUUUGGGCGGUAGGAGAAUUGCGUUGGAAUGUGGCACGGCUUCGGUUGUGUGUUAUAGCCUUCGUCGAUACUGCCAGCCUAGACUGAGGACUGCGGUUUAUACCUAGGAUGUUGGCAUAAUGAUCUUAAGUCGCCCGUCUUGAAACACGGACCA
Molecule: ribosomal RNA, 564 nt
Filed under: [Candida] sp. 7c-1
Lineage: Eukaryota; Fungi; Ascomycota; Saccharomycetes; Saccharomycetales
Description: eukaryotic LSU rRNA
Rfam family: Eukaryotic large subunit ribosomal RNA
Source: RNAcentral